Molecule: long non-coding RNA, 473 nt
Filed under: Helianthus annuus (common sunflower)
Lineage: Eukaryota; Viridiplantae; Streptophyta; Magnoliopsida; Asterales; Asteraceae
Description: hypothetical non coding rna
Source: RNAcentral
CGUCGUAGUAGUCGUAGUAGUCGUCGUAGUAGUCAUCAUCGUAGUUGCCGUAGUCGCCGUAGUCGUCGUAGUCGUAGUAGUCGUAGUACUCGUAGUAGCCAUAGUACUCGUAGUCGUCGUCAUAGUCGUCGUAAUCAUCGUCGUCGUAGUCGUCGUAGUAGUCGUCGUCGUAGUCGUCGUACUCGUAGUCGUCGUACUCGUAGUCGUAGUCGUAGUCGUAGUCAUAGUCGUACUCGUAGUCGUAGUCGUAGUCGUAGUCGUCGUUGUAGUCGUCGUCGUAGUCAUUGUCGUAGUUGUAGUCGUAGUCGUCGUCGUUGUAGUCGUAGCCGUCGUCGUAGUCGUAGUCGUAGUCGUCGUCAUCGUAGUCGUCGUCGUCGUAGUCAUAGUCGUAGUCGUAGUCCUAGUCCUAGUCGUAGUCAUAGUCGUAGGAGUCGUAGUGGUAGCAGUAGCAGUAGCAGUAGCAGUAGCAGUAG